Molecule: ribosomal RNA, 585 nt
Filed under: uncultured Bacilli bacterium
Lineage: Bacteria; Bacillati; Bacillota; Bacilli
Description: bacterial SSU rRNA
Rfam family: Bacterial small subunit ribosomal RNA
Source: RNAcentral
GCCUAAUACAUGCAAGUCGAGCGGACCGACGGGAGCUUGCUCCCUUAGGUCAGCGGCGGACGGGUGAGUAACACGUGGGUAACCUGCCUGUAAGACUGGGAUAACUCCGGGAAACCGGGGCUAAUACCGGAUGCUUGAUUGAACCGCAUGGUUCAAUCAUAAAAGGUGGCUUUCAGCUACCACUUACAGAUGGACCCGCGGCGCAUUAGCUAGUUGGUGAGGUAACGGCUCACCAAGGCGACGAUGCGUAGCCGACCUGAGAGGGUGAUCGGCCACACUGGGACUGAGACACGGCCCAGACUCCUACGGGAGGCAGCAGUAGGGAAUCUUCCGCAAUGGACGAAAGUCUGACGGAGCAACGCCGCGUGAGUGAUGAAGGUUUUCGGAUCGUAAAACUCUGUUGUUAGGGAAGAACAAGUACCGUUCGAAUAGGGCGGCACCUUGACGGUACCUAACCAGAAAGCCACGGCUAACUACGUGCCAGCAGCCGCGGUAAUACGUAGGUGGCAAGCGUUGUCCGGAAUUAUUGGGCGUAAAGCGCGCGCAGGCGGUUUCUUAAGUCUGAUGUGAAAGCCCCCGGCUCAA